This 706-nucleotide ribosomal RNA is filed under the name uncultured bacterium. RNAcentral describes it as "bacterial SSU rRNA". It matches the Rfam family "Bacterial small subunit ribosomal RNA", at positions 146 to 848 of the family's 1533-position model. The record is from RNAcentral.
ACGCAGCGAAAGCUGCGCUAAUACCGCAUACGAUCUAUGGAUGAAAGCGGGGGACCGUAAGGCCUCGCGCGAUUGGAGCGGCCGAUGUCAGAUUAGGUAGUUGGUGGGGUAAAGGCUCACCAAGCCAACGAUCUGUAGCUGGUCUGAGAGGACGACCAGCCACACUGGAACUGAGACACGGUCCAGACUCCUACGGGAGGCAGCAGUGGGGAAUUUUGGACAAUGGGCGCAAGCCUGAUCCAGCAAUGCCGCGUGCAGGAAGAAGGCCUUCGGGUUGUAAACUGCUUUUGUACGGAACGAAACGGUCUGAGUUAAUACCUCGGGCUAAUGACGGUACCGUAAGAAUAAGCACCGGCUAACUACGUGCCAGCAGCCGCGGUAAUACGUAGGGUGCAAGCGUUAAUCGGAAUUACUGGGCGUAAAGCGUGCGCAGGCGGUGAUGUAAGACAGUCGUGAAAUCCCCGGGCUCAACCUGGGAAUUGCGAUUGUGACUGCAUCGCUGGAGUGCGGCAGAGGGGGAUGGAAUUCCGCGUGUAGCAGUGAAAUGCGUAGAUAUGCGGAGGAACACCGAUGGCGAAGGCAAUCCCCUGGGCCUGCACUGACGCUCAUGCACGAAAGCGUGGGGAGCAAACAGGAUUAGAUACCCUGGUAGUCCACGCCCUAAACGAUGUCAACUGGUUGUUGGGUCUCUUCUGACUCAGUAACG